RNAcentral lists this ribosomal RNA (497 nucleotides) under uncultured bacterium. RNAcentral's name for it is "partial 16S ribosomal RNA". It matches the Rfam family "Bacterial small subunit ribosomal RNA", at positions 28 to 507 of the family's 1533-position model. The record is from RNAcentral.
GAUGAACGCUGGCGGCGUGCCUAAUACAUGCAAGUCGAGCGAACAAACGAGGAGCUUGCUCCUCUGACGUUAGCGGCGGACGGGUGAGUAACACGUGGAUAACCUACCUAUAAGACUGGGAUAACUUCGGGAAACCGGAGCUAAUACCGGAUAAUAUAUUGAACCGCAUGGUUCAAUAGUGAAAGACGGUUUUGCUGUCACUUAUAGAUGGAUCCGCGCCGCAUUAGCUAGUUGGUAAGGUAACGGCUUACCAAGGCGACGAUGCGUAGCCGACCGGAGAGGGGGAUCGGCCACACGGGAACUGAGACACGGUCCAGACUCCUACGGGAGGCAGCAGUAGGGAAUCUUCCGCAAUGGGCGAAGGCCUGACGGAGCAACGCCGCGUGAGUAAUGAAGGUCUUCGGAUCGAAAAACUCUGUUAUUAGGGAAGAAGAAAUGUGUAAGUAACUAUGCACGUCUUGACGGUACCUAAUCAGAAAGCCACGGCUAACUACGUG